This is a long non-coding RNA of Betta splendens (Siamese fighting fish), 4166 nucleotides long. RefSeq lists it as uncharacterized. The record is from RefSeq and is a predicted model, not a curated record. The transcript has 2 exons. Lineage: Eukaryota; Metazoa; Chordata; Actinopteri; Anabantiformes; Osphronemidae.
UUAUACAGAGGCAGCCGGUAAAAGUGUCUACCCCCACCGUGUUUGGGUUUCAAAUCUGCCGCGUCAGUGGCGGGUUUGUACUGCAGGAGGAGUGUGUUACGUCCUUCUGGCCUGUAGGUGGCGAUUGACUCCCACUUUUGGUCCUGAAACAUCGUAGUUGCAUACGUCAUAUAGGCUCUUGUAGAACAACCAAUGAUCAGGUCUUUGGUGGCCUAGUGGUUAACGUGCAUGGCCACAACGUUUUUUUUUUGUCCGGGGUUCGAGUCUGAGUGGAAGCAGUUUUUUUAUUUUAAUUAUUGGAAAAACAGCGUCUCAUCAUCAUCAUGUGAUCACGAGAUGACAACGUUGUAUUACUUAGUGCAUGAAUCGCCAAGACCAUGAACCGCUGGUCGCGUUAUAGUAUGAAGUUAUGAACGUAAGUAAAUUAUGGCAAAUUAUGGCAGUUUAAAACCGAAAAUAGGAAGCUGAACGGUGCGCCCUCCCGCGUGCAGCGUUCGAUUUAUGGCAGACAAGCUACUGUAACCCUGAUUUCUUGCUGUUGGUACGGGCAAUUUUCUUUACGUGGAAUGCUUCUUUAAUGCACCACACGGCAAGACAGUACGGCACAUGUACACUUUUUUCUUUACGCCGCUCUCACCCAACGUGCGUCACAUUUUCUUGUCCCCCGUCAACAAGGACAGGUAGGAACUAAUGUUGAUGACAAAUAAAAUCACAGUAGCUGAAAUGUCACGUUUCCCAAACAUAAAAUAAAAAAAAUAAAAAGGAAUACUAACUAAGGUUACACUACUACAAUUUAAAAAAGUGAAUAAGGAUGAUCUAGACCAGAGGUCUGCCACCGGUAACACCCACGUUUUAAAUGAAAAAAACAAACACUGGGAGCCGCGGAGGGCGGCAAUAUUAUAUUAUUUGAGAACAUUCAACAUUUGUUUUUUAAUCCAAAGAAGACAUAAAAGUCGGGGCUCAGAGAUCUAACCGAUGCUAAAACAUUGUCAAGGCAUCGACAAGGACAGCUAACUCGCUUUUCCCUGCUUCAAACAGCUGCUGUAACUGAGAGCAACCUGUGCGGCAUCACCGGUCAAUCUGUAAACGUAUUAAUUUUUUUUUGUAAAUAAAAAUAAUGUUUGCCCUGUUCAAACCUGCAUGGGGAAUUCUGAAAGCGGCUGAGCAACUUCGUAGGAACACAUUUCAUAUGGUACAGGUGAAAGGAGUAAUAACGAAAUAAACAGCUGGUUAACUUCGUAGGAACACCUUGUAGUAGGAACUGGUAUAUUUAGAAAACCCAGUAGUCCUAGUGUUAAGGUGUGUGAACUGGGGAGGAGACGGCAGCAGCGACUGAAGAGCGACUGAAUAGAGUUGAUGUCUUCCCCGCUGACAGGCGCAUUCAUUUGAUAAUGCACGUACCUUUGCUGAUAGUUCAGUCAAAAACCAUACUGAAUCUUUAUUAAACCGUCCCUGAAUAACAAAUAUGAACUGCAGUUUCUUCCUUGAUUAUCCAUGAUUAUUAUGAAAGAAGCGCAAAUCUUCGCCAGUCCAAAUUGUGCAAUUAAUACUGUGUUUACAAUAAAGGUAAUAAAUAAUAAUAUUAGUAUUUUCAUUUUAAAAAGCACUGCAUAUUUUAAACGAAUGUCGAAGUGCUACAAAUAACUUAGACUACGCUACGAUAAAUACAUACGUUUAUUUUUGCAGAGUAAACGUAUGUAGAACAAACUACUUGCUGCAUUAAUGAGUCUUAGACCUGCAGCUGAUCACGCCGCCCGAUGCUGCCCUGUCUCCCACGGAGCUUUGUCUGGAGCUGAGGUAUUUCUCACCUGCUGAUCGAGUAGUAGCAACACAUUAGCAUGUCUAUGCGCCUCUACGGGGAGAGGGAGGGGUGUGUAGAUUUCCUUUGCGACUGUGAGCAAACAUGAGACAAGCAAAAGCUUGGUCGAACUCAGAUCCAAGUCAUCUGAGUACGAAACACAUCACAUUUCAUUCGAUCUCGUGUUUCAUUCGAGCGGCAGUCGGGAGCUCUCUGCUACGACUCAUCCACGGAUGAGCUUCGAUUAAAAAUUAAAAGCAGAGGUUUUUUGUUUUUCGUUUUUCUCUAAACGAAAAAAACAGCUUAAAAUUCAAGUCCGUGUGUUUUUGUUAAAAAAUAUUUUUGUUCAGUUUAUUGGUUUGUAAUGCGGUGCUUUUAUUCAGAAUAGAUAGACGGGUGGGAAAUCAAAGUUUUGAAACGUACACGGGCGAAUAAGUCACAUCAGCCACUCAUUCAGUUACAAUGACACGCACAGUCAAAACAAAUUCUCGCUACCUCUCGUGCACCACUGCCCCGUUCCUCUCGUAGCUUGCAUUUGCACAUCCAUACAUUUGUGUAUUGGUCACUCUCUGUCUGGACACAUGACUCCGAAACACGUCACGUGUUUGUGUAAGAGUUUGAUGUCUCCACCAAAUUAUAUGCAGAGGUAACGAGAGAACGACUUUUUGUUUUCCGUUUGUCUCUAAACAAUAAAAACAUAUUAACUCCAAUUCCGUGUCUUUUUGUAAAAAACAAAUAUUUUUGCCUGUUUUAUUGGUUUGUAAGGCGGUGCUUUGAUUAAAAUCCGUUUGCCGCUCAUCGAAAGAGAAACGAAAACGCCGGUGAAAGUGGCUGGAUGGACGGAUGGGAAAUGAAAAUGUUGAAACGUACACGGGUCGAAUAAGUCUCUCAGCCACUCAGUUACAAUGACACGCACAGUCAAAACAAGUCAAACUGCAGUUCUGCAGACACAGAGUAAACGCGUAGGAACAAACAUGUUGCUGUAAUGCGUCGCUGUAGAUCUGCUGAUUUCUGGCGUCCUGUCAAAAUUACGACCGACAACUGCUGUAAAACAAAUUCCUAUGAUUAUUACGGUUAUUUACGUAAAAUCUACGACUAUUGGAAAACAUUCAUUAACAAGUUGUGGAAGUUUAAAACCUAAAUAAGCGGCUGUAGUCGCAGAUGGACUGCGCUAUACGUCUUUACUUGCGCAUUCAAUUAUAUUAAUUAAACCGCGACGCAUAAUCAUGGUAUUAUGUGAAGCCAAUAUGUUGUAUCAGAUGUUAGAGCGGUGGGUGUGUACAUAUUUUUAAGAGACGCCUUCUAUUUAAAGACACGAAAAAGCUGAGGAGAAUGAAAACAAGAAUGUGUUGCUGCUGUGGCGCUGCCUGUUUUAAACCACACAGAACAAUUAUAACUUCGCAGUGAACAGAAAACAGCUAAGCCAUCAACAAGUUGUUGCCCUUCACACUCCCCAUGUUUGAGCACACAACAGAUACUUAAUAGUAAAAUAGGUCUGGUGUAAUAUAUGUGUGUUACAGGUAGAAAUGAACAGUCGGACCUCAGUUACGCUGUAGUGCUUUGGAGGCUUCUAAUCAACGCUGCGCCACCUGGUGGUUAAAACGAGACUAGCGUCCUGAUUUUUUCCAGCCGGCUGCAGGAUUAAAAAUCUUUAGUCAGCGACGCACUCGCUGCACCGUGGCGACGCGGCGGUACUGCAGUAAAAACCCUAGUCACUUUGAACCGCUGCCACUGUAUUAUCCCUUAAUGCUGAUCAUUUUCAUUAUUAAUGCCUUAAUAAUCAUCUGAUUGUUUGUGAUUCAUGUUCAUAUUCUUAAGUGUUGAUCAUACACAACCUUAAACAUUCUAUGCAUUGUUCAAGUAUAUUGCUGGAAGCCUCUGAGCAAGAGGGGUUUUCAGGUAUCUUAUAGAGUCUUCAGUUAUGUUUUGAGCAGGAAGCCUAGUUCUGAUUUAAUCAUUGUGAGACAGUGUCUGACUGUCUGACUUGAUGACUCUGUCACGUAGUGUUUGACUUAGACAAGGAACAGAGUGCUGCUUGAGUGGGGCCUUCCUCUUUUGCCACCUUUGCUCAUGUAAACUUGGCAAAUUGUCCUGAAGUUUGAGCUCAUGUGUGGAGGUUUUGUGUUAUCUGUAGGCUUUAAAACUCGGGACAGGAGAAGUUUUCAGAGAACCUUGGUGUGCAGUUUGUGUGAGCAUCAACUUGUUCUCUUCACCCGGGUGCCUUUCUUUUCUUUUACCUAUUCUUUUCCUUUCGUUUUUAAUUUUUCUGUAUGCAUAUUCAGAAAUAAAUUCACAAAGACAACUUUUGAAUUCUUUUUUUCAUUGAGUCGUCAGAAGCUCUCGUGGUAUUUUUUUUUUCCACAACACA